GUGUAGGGGCGGCAGGUAGCCUAGAGGUUAGGGUGUAGGGGCGGCAGGUAGCCUAGCGGUUCGGGUGUAGGGGCGGCAGGUAGCCUAGCGGUUAGAGUGUAGGGACGGCAGGUAGCCUAGCGGUUAGAGUGUAGGGACGGCAGGUAGCCUAGCGGUUAGAGUGUAGGGACGGCAGGUAGCCUAGCGGUUAGAGUGUAGGGACGGCAGGUAGCCUAGCGGUUAGAGUGUAGGGACGGCAGGUAGCCUAGCGGUUAGAGUGUAGGGACGGCAGGUAGCCUAGCGGUUAGAGUGUAGGGACGGCAGGUAGCCUAGCGGUUAGAGUGUAGGGACGGCAGGUAGCCUAGCGGUUAGAGUGUAGGGACGGCAGGUAGCCUAGCGGUUAGAGUGUAGGGACGGCAGGUAG
Long non-coding RNA from Oncorhynchus keta (chum salmon), 403 nucleotides. RefSeq lists it as uncharacterized. NCBI's taxonomy places the organism in Eukaryota, Metazoa, Chordata, Actinopteri, Salmoniformes, Salmonidae. The transcript is spliced from 3 exons. The record is from RefSeq and is a predicted model, not a curated record.